GACGAACGCUGGCGGCGUGCCUAAUACAUGCAAGUUGAGCGAUGAAGAUUGGUGCUUGCACCAAUUUGAAGAGCAGCGAACGGGUGAGUAACGCGUGGGGAAUCUGCCUUUGAGCGGGGGACAACAUUUGGAAACGAAUGCUAAUACCGCAUAAUAACUUUAAACAUAAGUUUUAAGUUUGAAAGAUGCAAUUGCAUCACUCAAAGAUGAUCCCGCGUUGUAUUAGCUAGUUGGUGAGGUAAAGGCUCACCAAGGCGAUGAUACAUAGCCGACCUGAGAGGGUGAUCGGCCACAUUGGGACUGAGACACGGCCCAAACUCCUACGGGAGGCAGCAGUAGGGAAUCUUCGGCAAUAGACGAAAGUCUGACCGAGCAACGCCGCGUGAGUGAAGAAGGUUUUCGGAUCGUAAAACUCUGUUGGUAGAGAAGAACGCUGGUGAGAGUGGAAAGCUCAUCAAGUGACGGUAACUACCCAGAAAGGGACGGCUAACUACGUG
RNAcentral lists this ribosomal RNA (497 nucleotides) under uncultured bacterium. Its description in RNAcentral is "partial 16S ribosomal RNA". It matches the Rfam family "Bacterial small subunit ribosomal RNA", at positions 28 to 507 of the family's 1533-position model. The record is from RNAcentral.